CAGGAGUCCUCUCCAAGCCUCUGCGGUCACAGUUCAUGCUAUAAAUUGUGCAAGGGACCCAUGCCUGACAUCCAAGCAUAUGUAUGGCACAAGGACGAAUACUCUACAAGCAACAUUUGAAAUCCUAUUCACCACGUUGGAUGUCAUCGUCACAGAAACUAUUUUCAAACUGAAGGUUGAGAUUUGAGAACUA
Molecule: long non-coding RNA, 193 nt
Organism: Setaria italica (foxtail millet)
Lineage: Eukaryota; Viridiplantae; Streptophyta; Magnoliopsida; Poales; Poaceae
Exons: 2
Source: RefSeq, a predicted model, not a curated record